Molecule: long non-coding RNA, 550 nt
Filed under: Equus asinus (donkey)
Lineage: Eukaryota; Metazoa; Chordata; Mammalia; Perissodactyla; Equidae
Description: lncRNA (ENSEASG00005037182.1)
Source: RNAcentral
CUCUUUUGUCUUUCCACAGUGCCACUCAGAACCCAGUUUCUUUCUGCCUUGAGAGUGAGAGCAAGGAGACGACACACACUAAAAAGAGCCAGAAGCUCUCAGAGAUGACCACAGGAUGGAGAAUGUCGGGGGUAGUACAGCGUGGUGCAAGAAGCUCCAGCUCUGGGGCCAGUUGGACAGGGUUUGAUUCCAACUCUGGCACCUGUCAGUGGAGCAGCCUCAGGAGCAAAGAAGAUAAUCCCCUGGCUUCUGAGAGCUCACAUAUCAGCCAACAGAUUAAAUAUGAGAAUUGUAUUACCUGAAUGAGGAAAGAAGGCAGAGAGCUCAGUCAAGCCUGCUUGGACUUCUGACCUACACAGAAAGGAGAUGAUGAAUGAGUAUUGCUUAAAGUCGCUGAGUUUGGGGCAAUGGACAAUCUCUAACAGAAAUGAGACACUUAAAUUAAGGAGAUGAAGUUCCUGUGGGAGGAUGUCAGUCACUACCAGCUGGCCAAGGAUAGAUUUUAAACAAACUUUGGAAAUUUGGAAAUAAUAUGAGCAAUUUACUUUGG